AACGCUAGCUACAGGCUUAACACAUGCAAGUCGAGGGGCAUCAGGGUAGCAAUACCGCUGGCGACCGGCGCACGGGUGAGUAACACGUAUCCAACCUACCGUUAACUCGGGGAUAGCCUUUCGAAAGAAAGAUUAAUACCCGAUAGUAUAUUUUCUUCGCAUGUUGAAAAUAUUAAAGAAUUUCGGUUAUCGAUGGGGAUGCGUUCCAUUAGGCAGUUGGCGGGGUAACGGCCCACCAAACCUACGAUGGAUAGGGGUUCUGAGAGGAAGGUCCCCCACAUUGGAACUGAGACACGGUCCAAACUCCUACGGGAGGCAGCAGUGAGGAAUAUUGGUCAAUGGACGAAGGUCUGAACCAGCCAAGUAGCGUGGAGGAUGACUGCCCUAUGGGUUGUAAACUUCUUUUAUAUGGGAAUAAAGUUCUCCACGUGUGGAGUUUUGUAUGUACCAUUAUGAAUAAGCAUCGGCUAACUCCGUGCCAGCAGCCGCGGUAAUACGGAGGAUGCGAGCGUUAUCCGGAUUUAUUGGGUUUAAAGGGAGCGUAGGUGGACUGGUAAGUCAGUUGUGAAAGUUUGCGGCUCAACCGUAAAAUUGCAGUUGAUACUGUCAGUCUUGAGUACAGUAGAGGUGGGCGGAAUUCGUGGUGUAGCGGUGAAAUGCUUAGAUAUCACGAAGAACUCCGAUUG
RNAcentral lists this ribosomal RNA (686 nucleotides) under uncultured bacterium. Its description in RNAcentral is "bacterial SSU rRNA". It matches the Rfam family "Bacterial small subunit ribosomal RNA", at positions 32 to 715 of the family's 1533-position model. The record is from RNAcentral.